Malania oleifera is the source of this 711-nucleotide long non-coding RNA. RefSeq lists it as uncharacterized. The record is from RefSeq and is a predicted model, not a curated record. NCBI's taxonomy places the organism in Eukaryota, Viridiplantae, Streptophyta, Magnoliopsida, Santalales, Ximeniaceae. The transcript is spliced from 2 exons.
CCCUACCUCAAGUCAUAUGAUGGGUGGGCUCAGUCCAUAGCCCAAAACCCAUCUAGCUCUCACCCCCUAAUCCAACCCUCUCCCACGUGCCAGAAGAAUUGUUUGUCCCCAACUGCCUGGGACGGAUGGCAAGAACUAAAAUUGAAAUAAUUUAAAAAUUAGAGAGAUUCACUCCAAGGGUUUGGGAAGAGAGAAACUGCUCGAGGGCCUAUAAAUAGAGAGGAGGAAGUUGAGAUAUAGAGGAGGAAGCCAUUCGGAUAAGGAAAAGGUAGAGAGUGAGAAAGCUGGGAGCCGAGAUUAAGAGAAACAAAAGCAUCAUUCAAGCAAGGACUCUCGAGCAACUAAGAGUGAAGAGAGGGAUUCCUACAGAAGGAAAGGAGAUUGAAGCAGAAAGUAAAUAGGAGUUCAGAGGAAAAGAACAGAUGUUGAGAAGAAAGGGACUUCACUUGGGAUUGCUCCGUGCCCACUCAGUAGAAGGAAGAAAGGAGGAGUGGAAGAUUUGAAGGUGAUCCAAGUAAGCGAGCAAAUCAAGCUCGCAAAUAGAAGGGCCUCAGUAUUGCCCUGACAAUAAAGUGAGUAUUUUUUGGAGUAUUUUUGUUUAGCCUUAACCCAGUUGAGAGUAUUUUUGGGAAGCAGUCAUAUAUGUAUAUUUUGAGGGACCUUUUAGCACUAUAGUAUUGUAUAUAAUUAUAUAUGGUUAUGUUUAUUUGA